GGCUUAAUUUGACUCAACGCGGGGAAACUCACCAGGUCCAGACACAAUGAGGAUUGACAGAUUGAGGGCUCUUUCUUGAUUUUGUGGGUGGUGGUGCAUGGCCGUUCUUAGUUGGUGGAGUGAUUUGUCUGCUUAAUUGCGAUAACGAACGAGACCUUAACCUGCUAAAUAGCCCGUGCUGCUCCGGCAGCACGCCGGCUUCUUAGAGGGACUAUCGGCUCAAGCCGAUGGAAGUUUGAGGCAAUAACAGGUCUGUGAUGCCC
This 263-nucleotide ribosomal RNA is filed under the name uncultured eukaryote. RNAcentral describes it as "partial 18S ribosomal RNA". It matches the Rfam family "Eukaryotic small subunit ribosomal RNA", at positions 1187 to 1472 of the family's 1831-position model. The record is from RNAcentral.